GCUAAUACCGCAUAAGACCACAGUGUCGCAUGGCACAGGGGUCAAAGGAUUUAUCCGCUGAAAGAUGGGCUCGCGUCCGAUUAGCUAGAUGGUGAGGUAACGGCCCACCAUGGCGACGAUCGGUAGCCGGACUGAGAGGUUGAACGGCCACAUUGGGACUGAGACACGGCCCAGACUCCUACGGGAGGCAGCAUG
RNAcentral lists this ribosomal RNA (195 nucleotides) under uncultured bacterium. RNAcentral's name for it is "partial 16S ribosomal RNA". It matches the Rfam family "Bacterial small subunit ribosomal RNA", at positions 162 to 353 of the family's 1533-position model. The record is from RNAcentral.